CUCCAUUAACAUCAGCUCCAGAUCUGGGUACUUAACAGCACUACAUUCAGCCACAUCAACGACAAUCUAAAGAAGACUACUGAAAAAUUAAAACUAGCUUCAUCCUACAGAAUGGAUUCUAACUUAUUACCAAGAAAAUAAUUCUUAUUCAGUUUUCAAUAAACUUUAUCAGAGACGGGGUACUUGAUAUGAGAGAGUGGCCAAUGGGAAUCACCAAAUGAGUGAAGAAAAGUUUCAAACAUCAGGAAAAAAAAACAGCGCAUUGCAAAACAUAUUAGACUGAACCUAUCGAUGACAAAAUGCAACUGUGAAAUGUUGAGACUGUUCAUCAAAGCUGGACAUAAGCAGGAUCCAUUCCAUUUUCAAAGAGGUAGAGUGACUGUCUGAAAAAACAAAAGUAACUAGAAAAUUGAUAAAACUGACCGAGUCAUCUAUGCAGAAAGUUGCUUAUAUAGACCCAUAAUAUAAUACAUUUGUGAUCAUAAAGCACAAUUUUGAUUUUGGAAUUGCAAUCAUAGUUCAAGGCGAGUAACAAUUUUAACCUCUGUAAUUAUUUUAAAAGCUAAUGCACAUCCUUUAACAAUUCAGUUUGCUGAAAUGGUCACUUAUGCUUUUGUAUUUAUACACCUAAACAUCAUCUAAGUGCAAUAGAUUUUACAAUCCCAGGUGAUUUACCUAGACUGCAACAUUGUUAUCAAAUGAUAACCUUCUAAGUUUCUUGAAUUCAUGGGUCAUAUUCCUUUGUUUGAGCUGCAUAAAACCUAUAUCACUGAGCAGUCACUUAAUAUCUCUGAUGAUAAGGAUGUUAAUGAGUUUUGUAAUACUUUUCUGAGUUAUUUCUCUGUUACAAUAUUGCUUCUUGAAUGCUAUACAUUGUUUAUUCUUGUUUUAUGUGGUACACAUGUAUUAUUUACUUACCAGAUAAUCGCAGUUUUCCCGUCAUAAAAAUCAAAAGGUCGAAAAAAAUUUGAGAAAUUUGAGAAAAAUAUUUGAGAAAUUUAGUUCAUUUUCCCAUUGUUUUUUAUUUCAUAUAAAACUGGGAAUAAAAUAUGGCAAAGCUGUUUAUUUGCCCUAUUUUUAUUUUUUGGCCCUAUUUUUCAUAUUUAAGGAUUUCAAUUGCACAGUAUUUUUUAAAAUUUCUGGUGGCUGUUAUGUAUUGUACAUAAAAAUAUUUAGAAUUCUUUUCUUACCACCAAAA
Molecule: long non-coding RNA, 1198 nt
Filed under: Homo sapiens (human)
Lineage: Eukaryota; Metazoa; Chordata; Mammalia; Primates; Hominidae
Description: HSALNT0218547
Source: RNAcentral